CCUACGGGCGGCUGCAGUGGGGAAUAUUGCACAAUGGGCGCAAGCCUGAUGCAGCCAUGCCGCGUGUGUGAAGAAGGCCUUCGGGUUGUAAAGCACUUUCAGCGGGGAGGAAGGCGGUGAGGUUAAUAACCUCAUCGAUUGACGUUACCCGCAGAAGAAGCACCGGCUAACUCCGUGCCAGCAGCCGCAGUAAUACGGAGGGUGCAAGCGUUAAUCGGAAUUACUGGGCGUAAAGCGCACGCAGGCGGUCUGUCAAGUCGGAUGUGAAAUCCCCGGGCUCAUCCUGGGAACUGCAUUCGAAACUGGCAGGCUAGAGUCUUGUAGAGGGGGGUAGAAUUCCAGGUGUAGCGGUGAAAUGCGUAGAGAUCUGGAGGAAUACCGGUGGCGAAGGCGGCCCCCUGGACAAAGACUGACGCUCAGGUGCGAAAGCGUGGGGAGCAAACAGGAUUAGAUACCCGAGUAGUC
RNAcentral lists this ribosomal RNA (465 nucleotides) under uncultured Klebsiella sp. Its description in RNAcentral is "bacterial SSU rRNA". It matches the Rfam family "Bacterial small subunit ribosomal RNA", at positions 338 to 795 of the family's 1533-position model. Lineage: Bacteria; Pseudomonadati; Pseudomonadota; Gammaproteobacteria; Enterobacterales; Enterobacteriaceae. The record is from RNAcentral.